This 967-nucleotide ribosomal RNA is filed under the name Alcanivorax jadensis. RNAcentral's name for it is "bacterial SSU rRNA". It matches the Rfam family "Bacterial small subunit ribosomal RNA", at positions 61 to 1019 of the family's 1533-position model. The record is from RNAcentral. Lineage: Bacteria; Pseudomonadati; Pseudomonadota; Gammaproteobacteria; Oceanospirillales; Alcanivoracaceae.
GUCGAGCGGAAACGAUGGUAGCUUGCUACCAGGCGUCGAGCGGCGGACGGGUGAGUAACGCGUGAGAAUCUGCCCAUUUGUGGGGGAUAACUCGGGGAAACUCGAGCUAAUACCGCAUAAUCCCUACGGGGGAAAGCAGGGGACCUUCGGGCCUUGUGCAGAUGGAUGAGCUCGCGUCGGAUUAGCUUGUUGGUGAGGUAAAGGCUCACCAAGGCGACGAUCCGUAGCUGGUCUGAGAGGAUGAUCAGCCACACCGGGACUGAGACACGGCCCGGACUCCUACGGGAGGCAGCAGUGGGGAAUCUUGGACAAUGGGGGCAACCCUGAUCCAGCCAUGCCGCGUGUGUGAAGAAGGCCUUCGGGUUGUAAAGCACUUUCAGUAGGGAGGAAGGCUUACCGCUAAUAACGGUGAGUACUUGACGUUACCUACAGAAGAAGCACCGGCUAAUUUCGUGCCAGCAGCCGCGGUAAUACGAAAGGUGCGAGCGUUAAUCGGAAUUACUGGGCGUAAAGCGCGCGUAGGCGGUUUGUUAAGUCAGAUGUGAAAGCCCCGGGCUCAACCUGGGAAUUGCAUUUGAAACUGGCAGGCUAGAGUGCAGUAGAGGGAGGUGGAAUUUCCGGUGUAGCGGUGAAAUGCGUAGAGAUCGGAAGGAACACCAGUGGCGAAGGCGGCCUCCUGGACUGACACUGACGCUGAGGUGCGAAAGCGUGGGGAGCAAACAGGAUUAGAUACCCUGGUAGUCCACGCCGUAAACGAUGUCUACUAGUCGUUGGGAAUCUUAGUAUUCUUAGUGACGAAGUUAACGCGAUAAGUAGACCGCCUGGGGAGUACGGCCGCGAGGUUAAAACUCAAAUGAAUUGACGGGGGCCCGCACAAGCGGUGGAGCAUGUGGUUUAAUUCGAUGCAACGCGAAGAACCUUACCAGCCUUGACAUCCUUGGAACUUUCUAGAGAUAAUUGGUGCCUU